CCUACGGGAGACAGCAGUGGGGGAUAUUGCACAAUGGGGGGAACCCUGAUGCAGCGACGCCGCGUGGGUGAAGAAGCGCCUCGGCGCGUAAAGCCCUGUCAGCAGGGAAGAAAAUGACGGUACCUGAAGAAGAAGCCCCGGGUAACUACGUGCCAGGAGCCGCGGUAAGACGGAGGGGGCAAGCGUUAUCCGGAUUUACUGGGUGGAAAGGGGGCGGAGGGGGCGAUGCAAGCCAGGAGUGAAAGCCCGGGGCCCAACCCCGGGACGGCAUUUGGAACGGCGUGGCUGGAGUGCAGGAGGGGCAGGCGGAAUUCCUGGUGUAGCGGUGAAAUGCGUAGAUAUCAGGAGGAACACCGGUAGCGAAGGCGGCCUGCUGGACUGCAACUGACGUUGAGGCCCGAAAGCGUGGGGAGCAAACAGGAUUAGAUACCCCAGUAGUC
This 440-nucleotide ribosomal RNA is filed under the name uncultured bacterium. RNAcentral describes it as "partial 16S ribosomal RNA". It matches the Rfam family "Bacterial small subunit ribosomal RNA", at positions 338 to 795 of the family's 1533-position model. The record is from RNAcentral.